UAGGUAGUGCCUCGUGUCUCACCUUCGGGGGUAGAGCACUGUCAUGGUUGGGGGGUCUAUUGCAGAUUACCCCGCCAUAGCAAACUCCGAAUACCGAAGAGUGCAAUCACGGGAGACAGACAUCGGGUGCUAACGUCCGGUGUCAAGAGGGAAACAACCCAGACCGCCAGCUAAGGUCCCCAAAUAUGGCUAAGUGGGAAACGAAGUGGGAAGGCUAAAACAGUCAGGAGGUUGGCUUAGAAGCAGCCACCCUUUAAAGAAAGCGUAAUAGCUCACUGAUCGAGUCGUCCUGCGCGGAAGAUGUAACGGGGCUAAGCCAUAUACCGAAGCUGCGGAUGCGAGCUAGUCUCGCAUGGUAGGAGAGCGUUCCGUAAGCCUGCGAAGGUGCAUUGUAAAGUGUGCUGGAGGUAUCGGAAGUGCGAAUGCUGACAUGAGUAGCGAUAAAGGGGGUGAAAGGCCCCCUCGCCGUAAGCCCAAGGUUUCCUACGCAACGUUCAUCGGCGUAGGGUGAGUCGGCCCCUAAGGCGAGGCAGAAAUGCGUAGCUGAUGGGAAGCAGGUCAAUAUUCCUGCACCAUUGUUAAAUGCGAUGGGGGGACGGAUCGCGGAAGGUUGUCCGGGUGUUGGAAGUCCCGGUCGCUGCAUUGGAGAAGGCGCUUAGGCAAAUCCGGGCGCGGAAUUCAAGGGUGUGGCGCGAGCUUCUUCGGAAGCGAAGCAAUCGGAAGUGGUUCCAAGAAAAGCCUCUAAGCUUCAGUUUAACAGUGACCGUACCGCAAACCGACACAGGUGGGCGAGAUGAGUAUUCUAAGGCGCUUGAGAGAACUCGGGAGAAGGAACUCGGCAAAUUGGUACCGUAACUUCGGGAUAAGGUACGCCCCUGUAGCUUGACUGGCCUGCGCCAGAAGGGUGAAGGGGUUGCAAUAAACUGGUGGCUGCGACUGUUUAAUAAAAACACAGCACUCUGCAAACACGAAAGUGGACGUAUAGGGUGUGACGCCUGCCCGGUGCCGGAAGAUUAAAUGAUGGGGUGCAAGCUCUUGAUUGAAGUCCCGGUAAACGGCGGCCGUAACUAUAACGGUCCUAAGGUAGCGAAAUUCCUUGUCGGGUAAGUUCCGACCUGCACGAAUGGCGUAACGAUGGCCACACUGUCUCCUCCCGAGACUCAGCGAAGUUGAAGUGUUUGUGAUGAUGCAAUCUCCCCGCGGCUAGACGGAAAGACCCCAUGAACCUUUACUGUAGCUUUGCAUUGGACUUUGAACCGAUCUGUGUAGGAUAGGUGGGAGGCUAUGAAACCGGAACGCUAGUUUCGGUGGAGCCGUCCUUGAAAUACCACCCUGGUUUGUUUGAGGUUCUAACCUUGGCCCGUGAUCCGGGUCGGGGACAGUGCAUGGUAGGCAGUUUGACUGGGGCGGUCUCCUCCCAAAGUGUAACGGAGGAGUACGAAGGUACGCUAGGUACGGUCGGAAAUCGUGCUGAUAGUGCAAUGGCAUAAGCGUGCUUAACUGCGAGACCGACAAGUCGAGCAGGUGCGAAAGCAGGUCAUAGUGAUCCGGUGGUUCUGUAUGGAAGGGCCAUCGCUCAACGGAUAAAAGGUACUCUGGGGAUAACAGGCUGAUACCGCCCAAGAGUUCAUAUCGACGGCGGUGUUUGGCACCUCGAUGUCGGCUCAUCUCAUCCUGGGGCUGUAGCCGGUCCCAAGGGUAUGGCUGUUCGCCAUUUAAAGAGGUACGUGAGCUGGGUUUAAAACGUCGUGAGACAGUUUGGUCCCUAUCUGCCGUGGGCGUUGGAUAUUUGAAGGGGGCUGCUCCUAGUACGAGAGGACCGGAGUGGACGAACCUCUGGUGUACCGGUUGUCACGCCAGUGGCAUCGCCGGGUAGCUAUGUUCGGAAGAGAUAACCGCUGAAAGCAUCUAAGCGGGAAACUCGCCUUAAGAUGAGAUAUCCCCGGGGACUUGAUCCCCUUGAAGGGUCGUUCGAGACCAGGACGUUGAUAGGUCAGGUGUGUAAGCGCAGUAAUGCGUUCAGCUAACUGAUACUAAUUGCCCGUAAGGCUUGAUCC
This 2057-nucleotide ribosomal RNA is filed under the name Burkholderia glumae LMG 2196 = ATCC 33617. RNAcentral's name for it is "bacterial LSU rRNA". It matches the Rfam family "Bacterial large subunit ribosomal RNA", at positions 871 to 2925 of the family's 2925-position model. Lineage: Bacteria; Pseudomonadati; Pseudomonadota; Betaproteobacteria; Burkholderiales; Burkholderiaceae. The record is from RNAcentral.